GCGGGAGUUCCGAAAAGACUCUUCAGGUCGCCUUAACCGGAAAAAGGGCUCUGACGUGCACACAUUAAAUGCCAACAUAUCCAAGGACGGUUAUGCGCAGGAAUUGAGAGGACAACUUCGGCCAUACCCAUCUUUCUGUACUUUCUUCAUUCGUAAUUCGAACUCGAAAGUAGGGGGACUAGUGUUGGGUACAAAAUACCCACGGCCGAAGUUCUCAGCGGGAUUAGCCCUUGCGGACUCCGCCCGGACUCCUACGGGAGCCGGGCUUC
This 269-nucleotide long non-coding RNA is filed under the name Elaeis guineensis (African oil palm). RNAcentral's name for it is "long non-coding RNA (EGUI_LNC055019)". Lineage: Eukaryota; Viridiplantae; Streptophyta; Magnoliopsida; Arecales; Arecaceae. The record is from RNAcentral.